AUGAACGCUGGCGGCGUGCCUAAUACAUGCCAGUCGAGCGAACAGACGAGGAGCUUGCUCCUCUGACGUUAGCGGCGGACGGGUGAGUAACACGUGGAUAACCUACCUAUAAGACUGGGAUAACUUCGGGAAACCGGAGCUAAUGCCGGAUAAUAUAUUGAACCGCAUGGUUCAAUAGUGAAAGACGGUUUUGCUGUCACUUAUAGAUGGAUCCGCGCCGCAUUAGCUAGUUGGUAAGGUAACGGCUUACCAAGGCAACGAUGCGUAGCCGACCUGAGAGGGUGAUCGGCCACACUGGAACUGAGACACGGUCCAGACUCCUACGGGAGGCAGCAGUAGGGAAUCUUCCGCAAUGGGCGAAAGCCUGACGGAGCAACGCCGCGUGAGUGAUGAAGGUCUUCGGAUCGUAAAACUCUGUUAUUAGGGAAGAACAAAUGUGUAAGUAACUAUGCACGUCUUGACGGUACCUAAUCAGAAAGCCACGGCUAACUACGUG
RNAcentral lists this ribosomal RNA (496 nucleotides) under uncultured bacterium. RNAcentral's name for it is "partial 16S ribosomal RNA". It matches the Rfam family "Bacterial small subunit ribosomal RNA", at positions 29 to 507 of the family's 1533-position model. The record is from RNAcentral.